Molecule: ribosomal RNA, 765 nt
Filed under: uncultured Glomus
Lineage: Eukaryota; Fungi; Glomeromycota; Glomeromycetes; Glomerales; Glomeraceae
Description: SSU rRNA
Rfam family: Eukaryotic small subunit ribosomal RNA
Source: RNAcentral
UACCAUGGUGGUAACGGGUAACGGGGUGUUAGGGCACGACACCGGAGAGGGAGCCUGAGAAACAGCUACCACAUCCAAGGAUGGCAGCAGGCGCGCAAAUUACCCAAUCCCGACACGGGGAGGUAGUGACAAUAAGUAACAAUACGGGGUUCUUUAGGAUCUCGUAAUUGGAAUGAGUACAAUUUAAAUCUCUUAACGAGGAACAAUUGGAGGGCAAGUCUGGUGCCAGCAGCCGCGGUAAUUCCAGCUCCAAUAGCGUAUAUUAAAGUUGUUGCAGUUAAAAAGCUCGUAGUUGAAUUUCGGGGUCAGUAGGUCGGUCGUGCCACUGGUAUGAACUGGUUUUACUGAUUCCUCCCUCUUGAAGAACUGUAAUGCCAUUAAUUUGGUGUUGCAGGAAAUCAGGACUGUUACUUUGAAAAAAUUAGAGUGUUUAAAGCAGGCUUUAGCUUGAAUACAUUAGCAUGGAAUAAUGAAAUAGGACGUUUGAUCCUAUUUUGUUAGUUUCUAGGAUUGACGUAAUGAUUAAUAGGGAUAGUUGGGGGCAUUAGUAUUCGAUUGUCAGAGGUGAAAUUCUUGGAUUUAUUGAAGACUAACUACUGCGAAAGCAUUUGCCAAGGAUGUUUUCAUUAAUCAAGAACGAAAGUUAGGGGAUCGAAGACGAUCAGAUACCGUCGUAGUCUUAACCAUAAACUAUGCCGACUAGGGAUCGGAUGAUGUUAAUUUUUUAAUGACUCAUUCGGCGCCUUACGGGAAACCAAAGUGUUU